GGAAAUCUCACCAGGCCCGGACACUGGAAGGAUUGACAGAUUGAUAGCUCUUUCUUCAGUGGGUGGUGGUGCAUGGCCGUUCUUAGUUGGUUGAGUGAUUUGUCUUGUUAAUUCCGAUAACGAACGAGACCUUAACCUGCUAAAUAGUGACGCGGUUCAUCGAACCGUGGGCCACUUCUUAGAGGGACUAUCGGAUUCAAACCGAUGGAAGUGUGAGGCAAUAA
Molecule: ribosomal RNA, 224 nt
Filed under: uncultured eukaryote
Lineage: Eukaryota
Description: partial 18S ribosomal RNA
Rfam family: Eukaryotic small subunit ribosomal RNA
Source: RNAcentral